GGGUAGUCCUAGCCGUAAACGAUGCUCGCUAGGUGUCAGCCACGGUGCGACCGUGGUUGGUGCCGUAGGGAAGCCGUGAAGCGAGCCACCUGGGAAGUACGGCCGCAAGGCUGAAACUUAAAGGAAUUGGCGGGGGAGCACAACAACGGGUGGAGCCUGCGGUUCAAUUGGAUCCAACGCCGGAAAUCUCACCGGGGGCGACAGCGAUAUGAAGGUCAGGCUGAAGACCUUACUUGAUUAGCUGAGAGGUGGUGCAUGGCCGUCGUCAGUUCGUACUGUGAAGCAUCCUGUUAAGUCAGGCAACGAGCGAGACCCACGCCCACAGUUGCCAGCAUAUUCUCCGGAAUGAUGGGUACACUGUGGGGACCGCCGCUGCUAAAGCGGAGGAAGGAGUGGACAACGGUAGGUCAGUAUGCCCCGAAUCUCCCGGGCUACACGCGGGGCUACAAUGGUUGGGUACAAUGGGGCAUCUACCCCGAAAGGGGAACGGGGAAUCUCUUAAAGCCAACCCUAGUUCGGAUUGAGGGCUGC
Molecule: ribosomal RNA, 531 nt
Filed under: uncultured prokaryote
Description: bacterial SSU rRNA
Rfam family: Archaeal small subunit ribosomal RNA
Source: RNAcentral